CAAAAUUCAAUAAAAAAAAAAUUUAAUAUGUAUUAUUACCUGAAAAUUUUAAUUUGGACAUAGAUUAAUUGCAAAUUUUUAUGCAAGAUAAUUUUUGAUAAAUAUAAAGAUAAAAGCUGAUUUUUUUUUCUUCCAAAUUUUUACAAGUUAUUGUCCAUAAAUAAAUCAAGUAAAUUCAUAAAAUAAGACAUAAGAAUUUAUAAAAAAAUAUAUUAUUUUUAAUUUAGUUUCUUUAAUUUUUUUUUUUUUGUGAUCAUUAUAGUUAUAUUUUAUUUUAUUAUACAAUUAAAUGCUAAUUUAUAUACGUAAUUCAUUCUAAAUACAUCAAAAAUAAAGAAUAAUUGAUUGAGUAAUAUUUUUAAAAUCCAUUUGUAAUAGUACUGAAGAAGGUAUCAUUUUGUUAAUAUUUCUUACAAAAAAUUAUUUGUUUCAAGACUACAUAAUUUUUCUUUCCUUCAAAAAAGGGGAUAUUAUUCUCUUAUUCUCAUAUAAAUAACAAACUUAAGGUCUAAAAUAUGAAAUUAAUCAUUUUAUUUCUUUUACGUUUUAAGAAUUUUUAGUAAAUAAAAUAAACGACAAAAAUAAUUAUUGUACCAAUUCAUAUAAGUACUUGUAUUUUAAACCUAUUAUUACGUGGUGAAAUAAAUAAUUAAGUAAAAGAAAUUUUGAAGAGUACAUAUCAAAUAAAAUAAACUAAGCUUUUGGUGUAAUUAAAUUAAUCUUUAAUGAUUAAUAUUUCAUGUGUAUUUAAAAAAAAAGAAUUAGGAUAAACCUUUAGUUAAAUAAGUUUGAUAAGUUAUACAUUUAUAAAAAAAAAAAAUGAAAGUUUAAUGACAUGAUAUUUCAAGUAGAAGAGAGAAAGAUUUUGAGGUGUGAGUAUAUUUUAAGAAAAACAAGAAAAGUUGAAUGAUAUUCUUGUCCUAAAUAAAACAAAAGUGAUAUUUACAGGUAAUUUUUCAAACAUGGGUGACUAUUCAGGUAAUUUACUCAACAUCUUUAGUGGUUUUUAUUUUAGAGUCACUCAUUAUCUCUCACUUGUUUUAAAACUAUAUUCAAAGAUACUCAAAAAUCAAAGAUUUAUAACUUCAAAAAUAACAAAAUUUUAAAUAUAAGAAACAAGAAUCAUAUUACAAAUAUAGUUCAUAACAAAUGCAAAAGUCAGGAUCCACUAACCACUUGAAACUUCUGGUGGUAAAAUAUGUAUGUACUUACAAUAAAAUAUAUGUUAUGUUUAUAUUAUUAUAUUAAAGUGUGAAGAAUCUCUGAGAAGUGAUUUGAAGUUAUAAUUAUUAGCAAUAAAAUAAAUAUAAUAUUUUAACUAAAAUAAAAAAUAAAUAAUUCAAAAAUAACUCUCUCUGUUCACUUUUACUUGUUAAAUUUUGCAUCUUGAGAGUCAAACUGUAUCAUGACCUAAUCUACUUAAAUUUAGCUUCGAAAAUUAGUUAAAUUUACUCUAGUAAAACGAAGCAUGACAAAUAAAAAUAAUUAAAUAAAGAAAGUAUUUUCACUAUUAUUUUUUUGGUAAACCACAAUUAUUAGUUAUUUGUAGCAUGUAUAACUAAUAAUAUGUGAUGUAAUUGGUGCUGAAAUUAAGUAAUGAAAGUUUAGCCUUUCAGUAUUGGUACAUUAUGGAACUUAAAAUGUUUAAUGGUGUUAUCUUUCUUGCUCUACAUACAUUUACACCUCAAAUUUCUUGUGGCUAACAAAAAGUGACAAAUCCUUAAUUUAAUAUUUUCCAAUGUAUUGCCUAGUGUUAAGAUAUAAAAUAUAAUAUCUUUCAACCUAUUGCCAGUUCUAGAGGAAUAAUAUUACUUCUGAAGUUUAUCAAAAUACUAAUCUAUACAUAAGUCCUUUUGUGUCUCCAGUUGUGAUAAACCUAGCUCCCAAUUAUAGCUACUACCACUUCCUUAUGAAACUUGUUUAUCAUAGUUUGAUUGUUGAAAAUAUGGUAAAAGUUGUUAGAUAUGAAGACAAAAAUAUAAACGUAAAUAUGUUGAACAAUAUUACUUCUGAAGUUUAUCAAAAUACUAAUCUAUAGAAAGAGAAAAUUCUUUCUCUUUCGAGAAUGAACUUAAUAAGAUAUUUAUUUAUCUUAGCCUGUAUCGUAUGUAGGACUUCAAAACACUUAUCAAAUUUGAAAUUGAGUCUUCGAAUCAUGUUGAUAAAUUCAUAAGUCUCAAAUCAAAUGGUGGUGGAAUAAAUGAAGCCCUUCCACUCUUAAUCAUAUGUCGAAAAUUCUUUAUCUUCAAUCCAACAAAAGCAUUUUUUUAUACACAACAUUGAUUGAACAAAAUAAGGUAUCAAAUAUCAAUUUACCUUUAAAAAACUUUGUUCAUCGAUCAUGUUGAUAUUAUCAUCACCACUCGUCUUCAAAUACCUACAAAAUCGAUACGAAAUAAAUUAAAUAUUAUAAUCUGAUUUUCAGAAAAAAAAAAUUCUAAAUCAAACAACAAGAACAACCUAAAACCCAAAAGAAAGUAUGUUCAUCAAAAACACGUAAUAAAUAUACAUGAACUAAGAAUUCUAGAUGAAAUAAAAUUGUAAAAUAUUGCACGCGUGAAUUUUUUAAUCAACUUUUUAUUCUUUUCCAAGUUUACAUAGUAUUUUUUUAUGAUAAUCCUUAUUUAAUUUUUUUUUACCAUAUAUUUUAGGAUUCCUUAAUUAUUAUCUCCUAAUAUUUUUGCUCUAUAUUUUUUUCUUAUCAUAUAUUUUAAGACUGCUUAAUUUUUAAAAUAAAAUUUUAUGGUUUAAAUAAGGAAAAUUAUGCAAAAUUUUAUAUUGUUUACCUUUCCUGUGUUCUUUUUUUAUUUCUUUCUCAUAUGAUUUUUCUUCUUCUAAUUUAAUUAUUCUUUCUUUUCUUUUAUUUGUUUAAUUUUCAUUCUUUUGUUACUCAAAUUUUUCUUUUUCUUACAUUCUUAGUUAAUUUUAAAUUAUUAAAUUUAAAAAAUUAGUAAAAAGAUGAUUUUGUGUAAAGUAAAGACUUUUAAUGAUGGACAAAAAGUUCAAAUAACUUUU
Molecule: long non-coding RNA, 3015 nt
Filed under: Capsicum annuum
Lineage: Eukaryota; Viridiplantae; Streptophyta; Magnoliopsida; Solanales; Solanaceae
Description: long non-coding RNA (CANN_LNC011018)
Source: RNAcentral